Molecule: ribosomal RNA, 479 nt
Filed under: uncultured bacterium
Lineage: Bacteria
Description: bacterial SSU rRNA
Rfam family: Bacterial small subunit ribosomal RNA
Source: RNAcentral
ACCGUACUCCUACGGGAGGCAGCAGUGGGGAAUUUUGGACAAUGGGGGCAACCCUGAUCCAGCAAUGCCGCGUGAGUGAAGAAGGCCUUCGGGUUGUAAAGCUCUUUUGUCAGGGAAGAAACGGUAGUAGCUAAUAUCUAUUACUAAUGACGGUACCUGAAGAAUAAGCACCGGCUAACUACGUGCCAGCAGCCGCGGUAAUACGUAGGGUGCAAGCGUUAAUCGGAAUUACUGGGCGUAAAGCGUGCGCAGGCGGUUGUGUAAGUCAGAUGUGAGAUCCCCGGGCUCAACCUGGGAACUGCAUUUGUGACUGCAUGGCUAGAGUACGGUAGAGGGGGAUGGAAUUCCGCGUGUAGCAGUGAAAUGCGUAGAUAUGCGGAGGAACACCGAUGGCGAAGGCAAUCCCCUGGACCUGUACUGACGCUCAUGCACGAAAGCGUGGGGAGCAAACGGGAUUAGAAACCCGAGUAGUCCUUGAC